This 916-nucleotide long non-coding RNA is filed under the name Bemisia tabaci. RNAcentral describes it as "lncRNA ENSSSA3NGG014622". Lineage: Eukaryota; Metazoa; Arthropoda; Insecta; Hemiptera; Aleyrodidae. The record is from RNAcentral.
UGGAAGAUCCACUAGUGGUGUUUGCUCGAACUAUUCUAGCCGAUAUGUGACCAAAACAUUUGAAACUAUACGAAAGUUUGACUCUGGAAUGCUGUUUUUACUUUCCCAAGCACUCCUGUUAAAUGUGCUGGUGCGCCACAGAAAAUUUGUUACCUAUCGGAAUCUUACUUUUCAAAGCAUGGCAAACGAGACAAGGCAAAUGUGAAGUACUUUGCUGCGACUCCUGUCAUCUUUUCUUGUAAAAGUAUGCAGAUGAACUACAUAAAAUUUGUGCCCGGAGAAAUAUCGAAGUUAAUCUUAGACACAAUCUGAAAGAAAUUUUACCAAAUUCCAAGAAGCUGUAUUUGAUGUUUUAGAUAAGCCUGGUGAAGUUGUGAAAGUGCCAUUUUCUAUGCUCCAUGUGACUCCUCCAAUGACACCUCCUGCUGUUCUGAAAACUGGACCUUUGCUGACCGAUGAAAGUGGGUUUGUGAAUGUGGACAAGGAAACAUUACAGCAUAAGCAUUAUAAAAUAUUUUUGCGCUCGGUGAUAGUUCAAAUUUACCUACUUCCAAACUGCUGCGGCUGUAGCUGCUCAAAGUAAAAUUCUGUGGAAUAAUCUGUAUGCUUGUCUCGAUGGAAAACCAGUCGAAUCAUCAUACAAUGGUUACACAUCUUGUCCCCUUGUGACUGGUUAUGAUUCAUUGAUUAUGGCGGAGUUUGAUUAUAAGCUGCAGCCUAUGGAAACGUUCCCUUUUAAUCAAGCAAAAGAAAGAAAAUCAAUGUACCUUCUUAAGAAGAAUGUAUUGCCAUUCAUGUAUUGGAAUGGCAUGUUAAAGUAAGUUAAAUUCUUAGUUUGACCAGACGUAUAAGGCACAUUUUCAGAUCUCAGGUAUUUUUUGUGUAUUACUAGCAAUUAACAAAGCAACGUAUGAUC